Unclassified non-coding RNA from Vicugna pacos (alpaca), 314 nucleotides. Its record names the gene 7SK. It matches the Rfam family "7SK RNA". From Rfam's summary of the family: 7SK was discovered as an abundant small nuclear RNA in the mid-70s but a possible function has only recently been suggested. The record is from Ensembl. NCBI's taxonomy places the organism in Eukaryota, Metazoa, Chordata, Mammalia, Artiodactyla, Camelidae.
GGAUGUGCGUGUGAUCUGGCUGUGACACCUGUCAUCCCAUUGAUCGCCAGGGUUGAUUCGGCUGAUCUGGCUGGCUAGAUGGGUGUCCCCUUCCUCCCUCACGGCUCCAUGUGUGUCUCUCCCAAAGCUGUGUGCUAGGUCGAAGAGGACAACCAUCCCCGAUAGAGGAGGACCGUUCUUCUCGGUCAAGAGUAUACGAGCAGCUGUGCUCCCCUGCUAGAAUCUCCAAACAAGGUAUCUCAUUGUCAUGAAAUGGAAGAAUUAUUGUUAAAAUGUCCACUCUACCCAAAGCAAUGUAAACAGUGAAUGCAUUU